RNAcentral lists this long non-coding RNA (1530 nucleotides) under Sus scrofa (pig). RNAcentral's name for it is "lncRNA (ENSSSCG00060008817.1)". Lineage: Eukaryota; Metazoa; Chordata; Mammalia; Artiodactyla; Suidae. The record is from RNAcentral.
GACCUCCUCGCUGUGGGACAGGCCAAUGCCUCAGCCUCCUGAGCCUCAGUUGUUUCUUCUGUAAAAUGGGAAUAACAACAUUCACACCAAUUCUUCUUCCUUCAAGAGAUGAUGCUGGAGAUCAAAUGAGGCAAAAGGUGGAUAAGUCAAUUAUAAAGCACUUUCAAAUACAAGCUCACGGUGUGGCACACUUGGAAACAGUAAUCUUCCUGCUAUCUCCCCUGUAUGGCCUGCACCCCAUCAGGAAGACCCUUUGCCAGGCAGCUGUGCGAGGUUUACGAGUGCAGUGAGUGCAGGAGCGGUCGCUGGGGUGGCAGAAGAAACUUUGGGCCCGCUCACCACUCGUCGGCUGGAGGGGUCCUUCCAGAGCCCGAAGAUUCCCUCCCCAGAUUUUCCUUAUGAGGCAAGCGGGCAAGCUGGCACUGGCACUGGCUGGGCAGCCCCAGGAGAUGGGGCUGGAGAGGCUCCAUCACUACUAUGGGUUCAGACCUCACCCUGAAACCCAUUAAACCCAUGUCUUGUAAGCCCUACAGGUGGUGUCAAGAGGAAUUUUCAGGGCACUGACAGGCUUCUCCAAAGGGAGAGGCUCUAGCUGGGUCUGUGCACUACUCUGCAGGAAGAAGCAGUGUUUAGGGGCAGCAGGAUCUGGGGCAUCAGGAGAACCACCGCCUCUGGUCCUCACGUGCUGUCCACCUUGGGCGAUCCCCUCCCUUCACUGGGCACAGCUGGCAGGAGAAAUUUCUAGAAGUGGACUUUCUGGAUGCAAAAGGCUUUUGCGACGAAGUUGACAAGUUGCCUUCAGAAAGCUUAUUCUCCCACCUCUGCUUUUAAAUACAUAUUUCUUCUUCACAUCUCCCCUUCUUCAACGAACAUUAUACAACAGGCAUUUCUUAAGUUCUUAACCUCACUGGCAACAUUAUUUUAAUAGUAGUAUUCUGUCAGCCACCAACCCUCCUUGGAGCCUUCACAGUUCCUUCUGUUUCCUGGGAUAACCCCCAAAUUCCCAACUUCCAGACCAAGUAGCUUCAUUUGACAUUGGGGAGCCUCCCCUGGGGGUUCCAGCUUCUAAAGUCAAAAUAAAAUGGUUAACUCAGCCCAAUCCUGUUCACUCCGUGCAGCGGGAAGGUCGCCAGGAGGCACCAUGAAAUGGAAAUCAUUCUAAGUUUUCUGCCGUGUAUUUUUUCUACACGGUGGAGAAGAUCCAUUUGUGUUUUAAACAAAAACGCCCCCUUCUUGUCAUCUUCUCUCAGUCAAAAAGGUAUCAUCUUUUCCCCGAACAGGUAUUUGCUUGGCAAGAAACUCCUCAUUCAGAAACCCUUCCAGCAAGGGGAUAAAUUUUUCUAAGGCAGCGAGUGACUACACACACAUCUGCAUUGACAAGUCACAACUUAUAGCCUUCUAUGGUGUUUCUGCGCUUUUGAAAAUGUUAAUAAAAACUUAAUGUGGAAAAAAACCAACUUUUUCCAAAUAUGUGUACCAAUAAGCCCAAGGCAACUCAUACUUUCUUAUAAAAUAAAGUAGGUCACUCAC